This 1395-nucleotide ribosomal RNA is filed under the name Mammaliicoccus sciuri. RNAcentral's name for it is "bacterial SSU rRNA". It matches the Rfam family "Bacterial small subunit ribosomal RNA". Lineage: Bacteria; Bacillati; Bacillota; Bacilli; Caryophanales; Staphylococcaceae. The record is from RNAcentral.
UCUCUGAUGUUAGCGGCGGACGGGUGAGUAACACGUGGGUAACCUACCUAUAAGACUGGGAUAACUCCGGGAAACCGGGGCUAAUACCGGAUAAUAUUUUGAACCGCAUGGUUCAAUAGUGAAAGACGGUUUCGGCUGUCACUUAUAGAUGGACCCGCGCCGUAUUAGCUAGUUGGUAAGGUAACGGCUUACCAAGGCGACGAUACGUAGCCGACCUGAGAGGGUGAUCGGCCACACUGGAACUGAGACACGGUCCAGACUCCUACGGGAGGCAGCAGUAGGGAAUCUUCCGCAAUGGGCGAAAGCCUGACGGAGCAACGCCGCGUGAGUGAUGAAGGUCUUCGGAUCGUAAAACUCUGUUGUUAGGGAAGAACAAAUUUGUUAGUAACUGAACAAGUCUUGACGGUACCUAACCAGAAAGCCACGGCUAACUACGUGCCAGCAGCCGCGGUAAUACGUAGGUGGCAAGCGUUAUCCGGAAUUAUUGGGCGUAAAGCGCGCGUAGGCGGUUUCUUAAGUCUGAUGUGAAAGCCCACGGCUCAACCGUGGAGGGUCAUUGGAAACUGGGAAACUUGAGUGCAGAAGAGGAGAGUGGAAUUCCAUGUGUAGCGGUGAAAUGCGCAGAGAUAUGGAGGAACACCAGUGGCGAAGGCGGCUCUCUGGUCUGUAACUGACGCUGAUGUGCGAAAGCGUGGGGAUCAAACAGGAUUAGAUACCCUGGUAGUCCACGCCGUAAACGAUGAGUGCUAAGUGUUAGGGGGUUUCCGCCCCUUAGUGCUGCAGCUAACGCAUUAAGCACUCCGCCUGGGGAGUACGACCGCAAGGUUGAAACUCAAAGGAAUUGACGGGGACCCGCACAAGCGGUGGAGCAUGUGGUUUAAUUCGAAGCAACGCGAAGAACCUUACCAAAUCUUGACAUCCUUUGACCGCUCUAGAGAUAGAGUCUUCCCCUUCGGGGGACAAAGUGACAGGUGGUGCAUGGUUGUCGUCAGCUCGUGUCGUGAGAUGUUGGGUUAAGUCCCGCAACGAGCGCAACCCUUAAGCUUAGUUGCCAUCAUUAAGUUGGGCACUCUAGGUUGACUGCCGGUGACAAACCGGAGGAAGGUGGGGAUGACGUCAAAUCAUCAUGCCCCUUAUGAUUUGGGCUACACACGUGCUACAAUGGAUAAUACAAAGGGCAGCGAAUCCGCGAGGCCAAGCAAAUCCCAUAAAAUUAUUCUCAGUUCGGAUUGUAGUCUGCAACUCGACUACAUGAAGCUGGAAUCGCUAGUAAUCGUAGAUCAGCAUGCUACGGUGAAUACGUUCCCGGGUCUUGUACACACCGCCCGUCACACCACGAGAGUUUGUAACACCCGAAGCCGGUGGAGUAACCUUUUAGGAGCUAGCCGUCGAAGG